This 64-nucleotide transfer RNA is filed under the name Potamogale velox. Its description in RNAcentral is "tRNA-Tyr". It matches the Rfam family "tRNA". From Rfam's summary of the family: Transfer RNA (tRNA) molecules are approximately 80 nucleotides in length. Their secondary structure includes four short double-helical elements and three loops (D, anti-codon, and T loops). Further hydrogen bonds mediate the characteristic L-shaped molecular structure. tRNAs have two regions of fundamental functional importance: the anti-codon, which is responsible for specific mRNA codon recognition, and the 3' end, to which the tRNAs corresponding amino acid is attached (by aminoacyl-tRNA synthetases). tRNAs cope with the degeneracy of the genetic code in two manners: having more than one tRNA (with a specific anti-codon) for a particular amino acid; and 'wobble' base-pairing, i.e. permitting non-standard base-pairing at the 3rd anti-codon position. The record is from RNAcentral. Lineage: Eukaryota; Metazoa; Chordata; Mammalia; Afrosoricida; Tenrecidae.
GGUAAGAUGGCCGAGUAGGCAUUAGACUGUAAAUCUAACAACAGGGUAAUUUCCCUUCUUAUCA